This 310-nucleotide signal recognition particle RNA is filed under the name Saimiri boliviensis boliviensis (Bolivian squirrel monkey). Its description in RNAcentral is "Metazoan signal recognition particle RNA (ENSSBOG00000005203.1)". It matches the Rfam family "Metazoan signal recognition particle RNA". Rfam says of the family: The signal recognition particle (SRP) is a universally conserved ribonucleoprotein. It is involved in the co-translational targeting of proteins to membranes. The record is from RNAcentral. Lineage: Eukaryota; Metazoa; Chordata; Mammalia; Primates; Cebidae.
GCCGGGCCCAGUGGCACGUGCCUGCAGUCCCAGCUACUCGGGAGACAGGUGGGAGGAUCGCUUGAGCCCAGGAGUUCUGGGCUGUAGUGCGCUAUGUGGAUUGGGUGUCCAUACUGAUGCUAAGUUCAGCAUCAAUAUGGUGACCUCCCAGGAGAGGGGGACCACCAGAUUGCCUAAGGAGGGGUGAACCGGCCCAGGUCGGAAACGGAGCAGGUCAAAACUCCUGUGCUGAUGAGUAGUGGGAUCACACCUGUGAAUAGCCACUGCCCUGCAGCCUGGGCCUGGGCAACAUAAGUGAGACCUGGUCUCU